RNAcentral lists this ribosomal RNA (450 nucleotides) under uncultured bacterium. RNAcentral describes it as "partial 16S ribosomal RNA". It matches the Rfam family "Bacterial small subunit ribosomal RNA", at positions 354 to 796 of the family's 1533-position model. The record is from RNAcentral.
GUCGAGAAUAAUUCACAAUGGGGGAAACCCUGAUGGUGCAACGCCGCGUGGAGGAUGAAGGUCUUCGGAUUGUAAACUCCUGUCAUCUGGGAGUAAGACCUGACGGUGAAUAGCCGGCAGGGUUGAUAGUACCAGAAGAGGAAGGGACGGCUAACUUCGUGCCAGCAGCCGCGGUAAUACGAAGGUCCCAAGCGUUGUUCGGAAUCACUGGGCGUAAAGGGAGCGUAGGCGGCGUGGUAAGUCAGAUGUGAAAUCCCGGGGCCCAACCCCGGAACUGCAUCCGAUACUGCAAUGAUUGAGGGUUGGAGAGGUAGCUGGAAUUCUCGGUUUAGCAGUGAAAUGCGUGGAUAUCGAGAGGAACACUCGUGGCGAAGGCGAGCUACUGGACAACAUCUGACGCUGAGGCUCGAAGGCCAGGGGAGCAAAAGGGAGUAGAAACCCCUGUAGUCC